Molecule: unclassified non-coding RNA, 167 nt
Filed under: plant metagenome
Description: partial contains small subunit ribosomal RNA, internal transcribed spacer 1, and 5.8S ribosomal RNA
Source: RNAcentral
UUUCCGUAGGUGAACCUGCGGAAGGAUCAAUACGAAUGUGUGAGUGAUUGGUGACAUGUUGGUAUGUUGUUGUGUGUGUGUACGAGAUGAUGAAACAAAUUUUUUUUUUACUGAUGAAUGACUUGCCACCUUGGAUCUCUGGGCUCUUGCAUCGAUGAAGAAGCAGC